This 316-nucleotide ribosomal RNA is filed under the name uncultured bacterium. RNAcentral's name for it is "bacterial SSU rRNA". It matches the Rfam family "Bacterial small subunit ribosomal RNA", at positions 28 to 334 of the family's 1533-position model. The record is from RNAcentral.
GGUGAACGCUAGCGACAGGCUUAACACAUGCAAGUCGAGGGGCAGCAUGAACUUAGCUUGCUAAGUUUGAUGGCGACCGGCGCACGGGUGAGUAACGCGUACGCAACUUACCUAUCAGAGGAGAAUAGCUCAUCGAAAGAUGAAUUAAUGCUCCAUAAAACAGGGGUCCCGCAUGGGAAUAUUUGUUAAAGAUUCAUCGCUGAUAGAUAGGCAUGCGUUCCAUUAGGCAGUUGGCGGGGUAACGGCCCACCAAACCGACGAUGGAUAGGGGUUCUGAGAGGAAGACCCCCCACACUGGGACUGAGACACGGCCCAG